RNAcentral lists this long non-coding RNA (5406 nucleotides) under Ficedula albicollis (Collared flycatcher). RNAcentral's name for it is "lncRNA (ENSFALG00000028626.1)". The record is from RNAcentral. Lineage: Eukaryota; Metazoa; Chordata; Aves; Passeriformes; Muscicapidae.
GGGCACGGCCGGCAGGGGCGCUGCUGGCUCCCGGCGGGCAGGCUGCCAUGGCUCCCCGCGCCGCCAGGGGGCGCUGUGGCGCGGCCCGCGCCCCACACGGGCAUGGCGGGAAGGGAUGGAGGGGAAGGGAUGGGCGAGAGGCUUCGCUCCACAAACCCCCCGGGGCAGCCGAGCCCGGGGCCACAGCAGGAGCCUCGGGAGCAGCAGCAGGGACGGCAGGAACGAGCUCACCCUGGGUAGCAAGAGGCAGCUGACGCUCGGCAGCUGGAGCUGGAGCUGCGCGCUGUCCCGGCAGGCAGGGAGUGUGGGCUGCGCUGCAGCAAAAACCCGCAGCAGCGGCAGAGGCACGGCGGGGGCUGAGCAGCAGCAGCCCGGCUCGGAACAGGCCCGGGAGAGGCUCCCUGGGAGGGGAAAGGAGCUCUGGGAUCCCGGGGUUUCCCCUGAGGCACCCCAGCAGAUGGGGAAAUCCCUUUUUUUGCGAGGCAGGGUGUUAAUAAGGCCCAGUGCAGUGGCUGCUCUCACAAGCAGCAGCUCUGGGCUGGGCUCCGGCGUUUCCAGUCAAUUCCCUCACCCAAGCAGCUGCUCCACCUGCUUCCUCCAAAGCCGAGAAAAACAGAGCCAGCCGCUGCCCCAGCCCCUCUUAUUUUCCCCCAGCCCAAUUCGCACGGUAUCUCUGCCCUUCCCAGAGAAUCUCCCAGGGUGAAUCAGCUUGUGAUGCCACCAGCCUCUGUGAAGGUCUGAGACGCUGCCAGUGAAGGCAAUGACAGUGGACUCCUGCUCCCACCAUGCCAGUGUCUGUCUCGAAGCCCUUCUGUUCUGGAUAGCAGUGGAUCCUUCGGCUCCACGUCCCAGAGGGGUUCUCUGGCACCAAAUCCAUGGCUCCAGCCUGCAGGGUCAGGCACCAGGAGAUGAGCAGGGAAUGUGGCAACUUCUGGAACACAAGGACAUUCACAGGGUCCCCAAGCAUGGAAACCAGCUGUCCACUGGACCCAGAAAAAGCUGCCCAAGUGAGCAACUGUAGAUUGUGUAAAUGGUUUUAGAUGUAGCCAAUGAAGUCCACACUGUUUGUAGGGCAGCUGGUGUCCUAUGGAAUGCUGCUGCUCUGCCAGCACUCCCACUCCCACAGACUGCACUAGUUGAGGACCUGUUCUGUACAUCACCUUUUUUUUUGACAUUGAAGGUUUGAUUCAGAUUAUUAUUUUUUAUUUAAAUAUGUUAUAAGAUGCUUUAUCUCUGCUGAAGACAUUAGAUUAUAUAUAUAUAUAUAUAUAUACUUAGAUAAACAGUUUUUAUUUAAACAUUUGAAAUCUGGAGCUGCCUGUGCAACCAUAGCAGACAUGAAUAACGUCCACAGCUCUCCUCCUCUCAGUGCCCUGGUGCCAGGGCCUGCAAGGGCACCACAGGAAAACUUCCAGUGGGUGACCUAUCUGUCACUGGACUGAGCAGUGGGACAGAGGAGAGAGUUUCACUGCACUGGGUAUGCUGGUGGUUGUCACAGAAAAGCCCAGAAGAACGUUGGACAGAAAUCCCUACAGGCUCUAGAGUUUUCCAUAUGCUCCAUUCAGCCUUCCUAGGAGGUUCAUAGGCUUUUAAACUACCAAAAUCCACCUGGCUGAAUGGCUGUCCCUUGGGCCUGGAGUGCAAUAUUGCUGUGCAGUGACCUUGUGCUUUGUUUACAUGAUUCCAUAUCACUCAGACUCAAUGCUAAUUCUCCUGUCAAUAUUCCAAAGCAGCUGGACACUCUGCCUUCAGAGUGCUUGGGUUCCUGCACAUCCCACCCUGCCUGUCCCAGAGCACUGUCACUGGGGUAUCGCUUGUACCCAUACAAAGGUGUAUUUGAGAGCUUUCAGACAAGGCCAGUGCCUGAGCUGGGUUAGACUCCAGUGCAGAAGCAUGUCAUGGUGCCAUUCCACUGAGUCUUGUUUCCUGUACUUGGCCUCCACAAGCCAAAUGUAUGCUGUGUCAGCUGGAUGGGGGAGGAAGGGGAGCCCAGGUCCUGAAGAGGGCCAGGCUGCCACAGGGAGGGCACUGCCACAGAGAGGGCACUGGCUCAGCAGGGUCCAUUCCCUCUGUUCUGAGCCCUCUCUCACAGUUCUUGUGCUCACAGCUCACAAGUGACUGCAGUUGGGGUCCAAGGAGGACUAAAUCAGCUCAGGAAAUGUAAAGCCAGGGCUAGGUGUCAGUUCAGGCUGGGAGCUGCUGUCCUGGUUGUGCCAGGAUUGCUCAGCACAGGAAGGUAGUGUCAGUAAAGCUGGGUUUGUCUCCCAUUCCUUGCCAGGAUGUGCUGGGACCUGGAGCACAGCACUGCAGCAGAGAUGGUUCCAGUUCCAGAUGCUCACCCCACAGCAGGUCCCUGCCCAGGCUGGGAUUCCUGUAAUCCCCUGAGCCUUCCCUCCUCCCCAGACCUCACAGGACUCCUCUGCAGGGGUUCUGUCACCUGAAAUCCCUUAACAGUAGCUCUAAGACUUGGCUAAAGAACCAGACCAGAAGUGUUCCUCUAGUGCCUGAGCAGGCAGGUGCUAGAAAUAACAAAGCAAAGCAAAUCCCAACAAUGCUUCACUUCCUACCUCGUGCCACUAUUUACACUCAGAGGGGAAACACAGCCUGUAGUCUGGGAGCCAAACACUUGGCUUUAAAGGCACAUGAAUUGCUGAUUCCCAUUAAGAAAUUCCUUUUUAAGCUGUUUGAAAAGAAACAAAAAGCAACCCAACAAUCAGUCAUUUCAUCUCAGAGACCAAAGAAGAUUAACCACAUUUCCUAAAUUGCUUUUCUGAUAGGCUCUCUGUUGUAGCAUUUACUGUCAACAAAAUGGAACAUUUCUGCUAAGGUUCAGAGAUUAGGAAUUCUCCUUAAACUUAAUUCUCAGGAGUCAACAAGGAAAAGGGAACUGAAGUGUUCUGUAAUGUUACUGGCAGUCCUUGUCUGUGACAGGCUCCAGUCCCUGUUGGAGCUCACUGCUGGUUUUAUCCUUUGUGUGGGUUCUGUUUAAACAGGGACAGAGGGAAGAGAGCAAACAAGGGAGUGAGAAAUGAGUCCUACCUUCACCAGGGGAUCCCUGAAUCCCUGCUCCCACGUGUUCCAGGCUAAGAGAGGAAGGCUCAGGCUUCUUCCAGAUCCUUGCUGCUUUCAGCAGGGUAUGUGCAAGUGUCCAGAGGCACCAGGGAGGCUCCAGCUGCCCCUCAGUUAAUCCUUGAGGGUUUUCUUCUACUCCACUUCAUAAAGGGGAUUUUUUGAAGCAUUAAGUACCCCCAGCUGAUCCUGCCCUGGCAGUGGGGUGGUUUGUACCCAGGCUGGGAAGCUGAGGCAGUGGGAGCUGCCCAAAGGAGAGAGUGGCCCAAAAGGCAGCAAGCUGCAGCCCACAGCAGGUCUGGAUGGCCCCAGGAGCUUCUCCCCUUACAGUCAGGGUGGCUAAACCCCAUAAACAUCUGGCUGUGCUCUGGGAAGCAGAGUUCUUCCAAGCUCCACCCCAAAUGCUUGUUUUCUUCUCCAUCUGCUUUAUUGUCUGGUAAACCAAUCACUUUUACUACGUGAUGUACGGGAGUAUUAGUCUAUUUUCUUGUUAUACAAGGGAGGAGUAUAAAAUAGUUUUCUGAUUUCUUUCAGAAGCAAAUGACUAUUUUAUUUUUUAAAAGCAAUUGAUUGUGAAUCUCAGAGUAUAAAAAAAAGAUAAGCCAAAUAUAUACCUUUAUGUAAAUUAAGAAAUAAAAGUAUUUAAAAUGUACCUCCUGGCUCCUUUUCUCCUGUCUCCUCUUGGCCACACACUCCUGUGGUUGCUGCCUGCAGGGCUGGUCCUUGGGAUAAGGAUGCUCCAAGCUCCAGCAGCCACAGAGCUGCCAAGAACUUACCUGGACACCAGCCUGCCUGGAGCUGGUUGAGAACUAACACCAGGAGCAGGGAAGGUGGUGGAUCACAGCCUCCUUUUCCCUCUGAGCUGGCUGCAGCCGGGAUCAGAGCUGGGGAAGGAGUCAGUGUGGGCUCAGAGGUGGGUCCUGCUCCAGCCCCUCACAGCACAGUUGAAGGGCCUGGCUGAUGGACUGAUGGCAAUGGUGCUGUGGGAGCCACGGCUCAGGCGCUCAGCAAGAUGCACAGGAAGGCAGGAAAUGAAUUCCCAAGUGGUCCCACAGUGGGCAUCAAGGCUGUCCUUCUCCAGGGAUCCUGCAGCAGCCACGCCCACCAACCUCCCGGGAUGGUGGCUUGUGGAGAAAAGGAGUGAAGGGGCUGGUCCUGCACAUCCUGCAGGAGCCCUGCACUCAGCUUUGGGCUGCCAUGACACACAGGGGAGCCUGGGGCUGCCCUGAGCUCCCACAGCACCCAGCACUGCCUCCCUUCAGGGUCUUCCUUCAGCACAGGGCAAGUGUCCAAGCCAGGAAACUGCAAAAGCAAAGGCUCUGUCACUUAAAACAUUCAUCCCUGAUGGCCUUUUGUCAGUGCUUCUUGGGGUUUUCAGUUUAUCAUUCUUGUAAAUUUCUUGAUUAAGAAUAAUUUUCCAAAUUCUGAUGAUCCAGCAGAUAGAUAAGCUUUGCAGCUCAGCAGCUUUAGCUUCCAUCCACCAACUACUGCUAACAAGUGUGCUGUUCACACUGGCACUGGAUCAGGGCCAUACCCGUGUGUGUGUGUGUUAUGUGUGUGUUAUGUGUGUGUGUGUGUUAUGUGUGUGUUAUGUAUACGUGUUAUGUGUGUUAUGUGUGUUAUGUGUGCACCCCCCACACUUGCUCACUCCCCAUCCCUGUUUCACAAACCCUUCCCCCACUGCCUGCAGAGCUCUCAGAGCCACCCACACUCUGACAAACACCAGCCUCAUGGGCUGGCACAGGGUGACUCCCCUGACCCUCUGCUGUAGGAGCUGUAGGAGCUGAUGUUCUUUGUGCUGCAGUGCCCUGCUGUCACUGGUGCAUUUACAUUUAUCACAUUGUACAAAGAGGUGCUGAUUGCCUGGCAACCUCUCCUGAGCAAUUCCAACACUGCACCCAUUGCCCAGAUCCCCUGGCAAAAUCUCUGUAUGACAUACAGGAUAUUAUAUCAGAAAUCACAGAAUCAUGGAAUGGUUUGGGCUACAAGGACCAUAAAGACCAAUCAAUUCCACCCCCUGCCAUGGCAGGGACACCUUCCACUAUCCCAGGUUGCUCCAAGACUUGUCCAGCCUGGCCUUGGGCACUUCCUGGGAUGGGGCACUCACAGCUGCUCUGGGCCCUGUGCCAGGCCUGCCCACCCUCACAGGACUCCACGUGCCUGGAUUUGUCCCAUGGCUUUGGCCAGUCUCCAGCACUGCAUCCCUGCCCUGAGCCCAGGACAGCAGAGAGGAAAAGGCUUCAUUGAAAUCAAAGCUCAGUAGAAAGCCCUAACGGUUAAGCAACAGACAGGACUGAAAUCAAAUCAAAUUAAACCUUUGUGAUUAUUAAAAGGCCC